GCCUCCGUAGCUCAGGGGAUAGAGCACCGCUCUCCUAAAGCGGGUGUCGGCAGUUCGAAUCUGCCCGGGGGCA
Streptomyces sp. is the source of this 73-nucleotide transfer RNA. It matches the Rfam family "tRNA". From Rfam's summary of the family: Transfer RNA (tRNA) molecules are approximately 80 nucleotides in length. Their secondary structure includes four short double-helical elements and three loops (D, anti-codon, and T loops). Further hydrogen bonds mediate the characteristic L-shaped molecular structure. tRNAs have two regions of fundamental functional importance: the anti-codon, which is responsible for specific mRNA codon recognition, and the 3' end, to which the tRNAs corresponding amino acid is attached (by aminoacyl-tRNA synthetases). tRNAs cope with the degeneracy of the genetic code in two manners: having more than one tRNA (with a specific anti-codon) for a particular amino acid; and 'wobble' base-pairing, i.e. permitting non-standard base-pairing at the 3rd anti-codon position. NCBI's taxonomy places the organism in Bacteria, Bacillati, Actinomycetota, Actinomycetes, Kitasatosporales, Streptomycetaceae. The record is from Rfam.